RNAcentral lists this long non-coding RNA (823 nucleotides) under Triticum aestivum (bread wheat). Its description in RNAcentral is "long non-coding RNA (TAES_LNC011979)". The record is from RNAcentral. Lineage: Eukaryota; Viridiplantae; Streptophyta; Magnoliopsida; Poales; Poaceae.
GGCAGUAGAUUAUAUAGUAAAUUCAUUAAACCGGGAUUUGGCAAGCAGUUUUGUAAAAAGGUUUAUGAUGAUUUGCUCUGACGUGAUUUUUUGUGUCUAUAUUUGCAGCCCAACAAGAUGAACCGUACACGCGAGGAACCUCCCGAGCGUACCAACUCCUCCGUCCAAGUCAAGCGCUGGGCGCCGUCCAGGUCGAGCACUGGGUGCUGUCCAAGUUGAGUCAUCCAACAGCGGGGAGCGAGCUUUACUCCGGGGCAGCCCAUCCUAGACGCGCAGCUGCUCUGCUCUCCACAUGAAUUUAGUACAUAAUACUCUCCCUCUCUCUCUCUCAAUUUAUUCAAACCUAUAGCAUGGACACAGUUUGUAUGAAAAAAUACCUCUCUGAAGUUCUAAUUUGUUGUACAGAUGCCUUCAGAAAUUAACAAAAUAUAAAUUAUUAUUUGUUCCUUGUUAUAUGACAGGAUUGGAUUGGGUUGUAGUGCAUGUUAGGCUCUAUUGAUCUCCGUCCAUGAGUGGUGCUACCUCGAGUCCGGUCGAUGGCGUCCACGAGCACGAGCAGCCCGUAUCCGGCGGCAAGAUGAAGGUUACCCAUGAACCAUGCUUCCCCUAAUCACCUCCACCUUGUGCGAAUUCGUAGCUGAGAAUAAGCACAAGCACCUACAGUCCCCCGGUGGCUUUGGCCGCACUUGGCCACUAGCUCGUCCAUCAUGGUGACUGGCAGCCGUCCAAGUGGAAUGCGGACAUCAGUCCAUGGAGAACUAGUUUGUAUAAACUGCUGUUAUGUAUAAUUAGGGGAUCCAAUGUUGAAAAGUUCAAUUAAGCU